Molecule: ribosomal RNA, 554 nt
Filed under: uncultured bacterium
Lineage: Bacteria
Description: bacterial SSU rRNA
Rfam family: Bacterial small subunit ribosomal RNA
Source: RNAcentral
AAUAGAUACCCUGGUAGUCCACGCCGUAAACGAUGGAUGCUAGCUAUUGGGGGGAAUCGACCCCCUCCGAAGCGAAGCUAACGCGUUAAGCAUCCCGCCUGAGUAGUACGAGCGCAAGCUUAAAACUCAAAGGAAUUGACGGGGACCCGCACAAGCGGUGGAGCGUGUGGUUUAAUUCGAUGGUAAACGAAGAACCUUACCAAGGUUUGACAUCCCGGUAGCCGUUCUCCGAAAGGAGAAUUUCAUUUAGUUGGACCGGUGACAGGUGAUGCAUGGCCGUCGUCAGCUCGUGUCGUGAGAUGUUGGGUUAAGUCCCGCAACGAGCGCAACCCUUAUGAUUUAGUUGGAUUUUUCUAAACAGACUGCCCUGGUAACAGGGAGGAAGGAGGGGAUGAUGUCAGGUCAGUAUUUCCCUUACACCUUGGGGCGACACACGCGCUACAAUGGCCGGUACAAUGGGCAGCUAAGCCGCGAGGUGAGCAAAUCCCAUCAAAGCCGGUCCCAGUUCGGAUUGCAGGCUGAAACCCGCUGCAUGAAGCCGGAAUCGCUAGUAA